Coregonus clupeaformis (lake whitefish) is the source of this 1760-nucleotide RNA transcript. It is a transcript of the gene named calcium/calmodulin-dependent protein kinase type II subunit alpha-like, with no coding region annotated. The record is from RefSeq and is a predicted model, not a curated record. The transcript is spliced from 4 exons. Lineage: Eukaryota; Metazoa; Chordata; Actinopteri; Salmoniformes; Salmonidae.
GCAUGUCUUAAGAUAGAGUGUGGUCACUGAGCGGAGGUCAAACUAACAUCACAAACUGUAGUUCAAAGUGUAUUCAUAUUGUAGAGGAGAGGACUUAUGAUAGAUAGGUGGAGAUCAUAUCAUUUCUAAAAUACAUCUAGAGCAUUUGUCAUCCAUUUAGUUCAAGGAAUAGUCAACUUUGGUACUUGUGGUUGGGCGUUCACACCAAGCAAUGUGUGACAUAAAGAAGUGUUCUCUCCCUGACACGCCAUGUGGUCUAAGAACAGUAAGCCUGUCCACACCACCAUCCUGAACCCCCACAUCCACCUGGUCGGGGAGGAAGCUGCUUGCAUCGCGUACAUCCGUAUCACACAGUAUAUCAACACCAACAGCAUGCUGCGCACCGCCCAGUCUGAGGAGACACACAUCUGGCAUCGCCGUGACGGCAAGUGGCAAAUAGUCCACUUCCACCGCUCUGGAUCACCCUCCGCCAUCACCAAGUAAGCCAGUCUGCUGAACUCCAGAGCAGGAGGGUUUGAGUGAGACGUCUCUCUGAGUGACACCGGUGGGUGACCAUCCGGCUGCGUGGGGACAUAGAGGGAUGCCCACCGUCCUGCCUGAGGAACCUUGAGCCCUCCUGCCCGCCACAUCUCAUCUCUUUACUUGAAAUCAGUUUAUGCCUUCUCUCAACUCCUUCACAAGCAAAUCGCAUUAACGUCCACUUUUUUUAUUCAGUUAGACUUACAGUAUACCUUACAGCUGCACACAGCAGUACAGUUUAUUCUCUGAACCCGGACAUGAAAGCUAUGAUUUAAACAUUAAAGAUUUACCAUGUAUCCUUGAAGGGGAAUUAUAAUGCCAAUAUAUCUAUGUGUUUGUUAACUUGAAACACAUUGGAUCAUGAGAUGUGGGAAAGCAUUCACUAAGCGUGAAAUGUUCUUUUUGAUAAUGAAUAUCUUAUGGUGUAUUCCAGAUUGAUAAUCCACUACCACAUGAUCAUGGCGCCUCAAGAGCACAUUUAACGUAGACAACAGAGGAAACCAUACUUUGCCCUCACAGGUUUAAAUGAUUAAAUGGCUGACCGUUGGUCUGAAUAGCCACUUACCUUAUGUGUUGAUAUGACUAGGGCAGCAAACUGCCAUUUCUCUACUUCAAUGCAAUACACAUCCCUCAACACUCCUCCCUCAACACUGCUCCCUCAACAAUUCUCCCUCAACACUUCUCCCUCAACACUUCUCCCUCAACACUUCUCCCUCAACACUUCUCCCUCAACAAUUCUCCCUCAACACUUCUCCGUCAACACUUCUCCCUCAACAAUGUUCCUUCAACAAUGCAGUACAUAAAUCAUUUAAUAAUAACAAGAGUCCAGUCAGAAAUAUCAAGUAAUCAAAGUAAUACUAACAUAAAUAUGUACAUAAUAGAACAUAAUACUGGUUGUGGGAGGAGCAUCAAAGCACUUCUUUACGUUCUUCCAAUCAGGACUGUGGGUAUUUACCAUAUAUCUUCCCCACUGUUUUGUGUUAUCAAUACAAACCCCCUCUUGCUUGUUAGAGCAGUUUAACUUCCUUUCAACAGACAGUGUAAACUACAGUAUUCUGCCUACUUCAGAGUAAGAAGCUAUUUAUAACAGACCACUAACACUGCCCCAGGAUGUUCUGCAAUAAGUUAGAUUGGUGUUUUUACACUAAAUGGUGUGUUCUUCUGAUAAAGAUUUGUUGUGGAUUUAAAAAAUGACAAUGAAUUUGAGUGACUUUGUUUUAUUGAUGCGUCCCAUUCCCUCU